GACGAACGCUGGCGGCGUGCUUAACACAUGCAAGUCGAACGGAAAGGCCCUGCUUUUGUGGGGUGCUCGAGUGGCGAACGGGUGAGUAACACGUGAGUAACCUGCCCUUGACUUUGGGAUAACUUCAGGAAACUGGGGCUAAUACCGGAUAGGAGCUCCUGCUGCAUGGUGGGGGUUGGAAAGUUUCGGCGGUUGGGGAUGGACUCGCGGCUUAUCAGCUUGUUGGUGGGGUAGUGGCUUACCAAGGCUUUGACGGGUAGCCGGCCUGAGAGGGUGACCGGCCACAUUGGGACUGAGGUACGGCCCAGACUCCUACGGGAGGCAGCAGUGGGGAAUAUUGCACAAUGGGCGGAAGCCUGAUGCAGCAACGCCGCGUGCGGGAUGACGGCCUUCGGGUUGUAAACCGCUUUCGCCUGUGACGAAGCGUGAGUGACGGUAAUGGGUAAAGAAGCACCGGCUAACUACGUGCCAGCAGCCGCGGUGAUACGUAGGGUGCGAGCGUUGUCCGGAUUUAUUGGGCGUAAAGGGCUCGUAGGUGGUUGAUCGCGUCGGAAGUGUAAUCUUGGGGCUUAACCCUGAGCGUGCUUUCGAUACGGGUUGACUUGAGGAAGGUAGGGGAGAAUGGAAUUCCUGGUGGGGCGGUGGAAUGCGCAGAUAUCAGGAGGAACACCAGUGGCGAAGGCGGUUCUCUGGGCCUUUCCUGACGCUGAGGAGCGAAAGCGUGGGGAGCGAACAGGCUUAGAUACCCUGGUAGUCCACGCUGUAAACGGUGGGUACUAGGUGUGGGGUCCAUUCCACGGGUUCCGUGCCGUAGCUAACGCUUUAAGUACCCCGCCUGGGGAGUACGGCCGCAAGGCUAAAACUCAAAGGAAUUGACGGGGCCCCGCACAAGCGGCGGAGCAUGCGGAUUAAUUCGAUGCAACGCGUAGAACCUUACCUGGGUUUGACAUGGAUCGGGAGUGCUCAGAGAUGGGUGUGCCUCUUUUGGGGUCGGUUCACAGGUGGUGCAUGGCUGUCGUCAGCUCGUGUCGUGAGAUGUUGGGUUAAGUCCCGCAACGAGCGCAACCCUUGUUCACUGUUGCCAGCACGUUAUGGUGGGGACUCAGUGGAGACCGCCGGGGUCAACUCGGAGGAAGGUGGGGAUGACGUCAAGUCAUCAUGCCCCUUAUGUCCAGGGCUUCACGCAUGCUACAAUGGCUGGUACAGAGAGUGGCGAGCCUGUGAGGGUGAGCGAAUCUCGGAAAGCCGGUCUCAGUUCGGAUUGGGGUCUGCAACUCGACCUCAUGAAGUCGGAGUCGCUAGUAAUCGCAGAUCAGCAACGCUGCGGUGAAUACGUUCCCGGG
RNAcentral lists this ribosomal RNA (1343 nucleotides) under uncultured bacterium. RNAcentral's name for it is "16S ribosomal RNA". It matches the Rfam family "Bacterial small subunit ribosomal RNA", at positions 28 to 1378 of the family's 1533-position model. The record is from RNAcentral.